UUUCCGUAGGUGAACCUGCGGAAGGAUCAUUAAAGAGACGUGGCCUUUCGGGGUCGACCUCCCAUCCUAUGAUUAUCAUACCUCUGUUGCUUUGGCACGCCCGUCCUCGGACCACCGGCACCGGCCGGUCCGUGCCUGCCAGGGGACCUAAAACUCUGUUUGUUAAUGCAGUCUGAGUACUAUGUAAUAGUUAAAACUUUCAACAACGGAUCUCUUGGUUCUG
RNAcentral lists this unclassified non-coding RNA (223 nucleotides) under plant metagenome. RNAcentral's name for it is "partial contains small subunit ribosomal RNA, internal transcribed spacer 1, and 5.8S ribosomal RNA". The record is from RNAcentral.